UAGGGAAUCUUCCGCAAUGGACGAAAGUCUGACGGAGCAACGCCGCGUGAGUGAAGAAGGAUUUCGGUUCGUAAAACUCUGUUGUUAGGGAAGAAAAAAUGUAUAGUAACUAUAUACAAAAGAGACGGUACCUAACCAGAAAGCCACGGCUAACUACGUGCCAGCAGCCGCGGUAAUACGUAGGUGGCAAGCGUUGUCCGGAAUUAUUGGGCGUAAAGCGAGCGCAGGCGGUUAGAAAAGUCUGAAGUGAAAGGCAGUGGCUCAACCAUUGUAGGCUUUGGAAACUGUUUAACUUGAGUGCAGAAGGGGAGAGUGGAAUUCCAUGUGUGGCGGUGAAAUGCGUAGAUAUAUGGAGGAACACCGGUGGCGAAAGCGGCUCUCUGGUCUGUAACUGACGCUGAGGCUCGAAAGCGUGGGGAGCGAACAGG
RNAcentral lists this ribosomal RNA (428 nucleotides) under Verrucomicrobiota bacterium. RNAcentral's name for it is "Verrucomicrobia bacterium partial 16S ribosomal RNA". It matches the Rfam family "Bacterial small subunit ribosomal RNA", at positions 355 to 776 of the family's 1533-position model. The record is from RNAcentral. Lineage: Bacteria; Pseudomonadati; Verrucomicrobiota.